ACUUACUACUACUGUAAGUCGCUCUGGAUAAGAGAGUCUGCUAAAUUACUAAAA
Non-coding RNA from Salmo salar (Atlantic salmon), 54 nucleotides. The record is from Rfam. NCBI's taxonomy places the organism in Eukaryota, Metazoa, Chordata, Actinopteri, Salmoniformes, Salmonidae.